GGGGGGAGGCCGGAUUCUGGGCUGUGUCCCUGGCGCCCUGUGCUCCCGGGCCUGCGCUGUUGGAUUCGCGCUACCGGCCCGCAGCCCCCU
This 90-nucleotide microRNA precursor is filed under the name Canis lupus familiaris (dog). Its description in RNAcentral is "mir-8799 microRNA precursor family". It matches the Rfam family "mir-8799 microRNA precursor family". RNAcentral also lists the same sequence under 1 other name. The record is from Rfam by way of RNAcentral. Lineage: Eukaryota; Metazoa; Chordata; Mammalia; Carnivora; Canidae.